This 254-nucleotide ribosomal RNA is filed under the name uncultured bacterium. RNAcentral's name for it is "partial 16S ribosomal RNA". It matches the Rfam family "Bacterial small subunit ribosomal RNA", at positions 524 to 776 of the family's 1533-position model. The record is from RNAcentral.
UACGUAGGGGGCAAGCGUUGUCCGGAUUUACUGGGCGUAAAGGGCGCGUAGGCGGCCACCGCAAGUCGGUUGUGAAAUCUCUGGGCUUAACCCAGAAAGGUCAAUCGAUACUGCGGGGCUAGAGUGCAGAAGGGGCAACUGGAAUUCUCGGUGUAGCGGUGAAAUGCGUAGAUAUCAGGAGGAACACCGAUGGCGAAGGCAGCUCGCUGGGACGGUACUGACGCUGAGGCGCGAAAGCGUGGGGAGCGAACAGG